RNAcentral lists this ribosomal RNA (1144 nucleotides) under Levilactobacillus namurensis. RNAcentral describes it as "bacterial SSU rRNA". It matches the Rfam family "Bacterial small subunit ribosomal RNA", at positions 56 to 1166 of the family's 1533-position model. Lineage: Bacteria; Bacillati; Bacillota; Bacilli; Lactobacillales; Lactobacillaceae. The record is from RNAcentral.
UGCAAGUCGAACGAGUUCCCGUUGAUUGACGUGCUUGCACUGAUUUCAACAUUGGAACGAGUGGCGAACUGGUGAGUAACACGUGGAAAACCUGCCCAGAAGCAGGGGAUAACACUUGGAAACAGGUGCUAAUACCGUAUAACAACAAAAACCGCAUGGUUUUUGUUUGAAAGGUGGCUUCGGCUAUCACUUCUGGAUGGUUCCGCGGCGCAUUAGCUUGUUGGUGGGGUAACGGCUCACCAAGGCGAUGAUGCGUAGCCGACCUGAGAGGGUAAUCGGCCACAUUGGGACUGAGACACGGCCCAGACUCCUACGGGAGGCAGCAGUAGGGAAUCUUCCACAAUGGACGCAAGUCUGAUGGAGCAAUGCCGCGUGAGUGAAGAAGGGUUUCGGCUCGUAAAACUCUGUUGUUGAAGAAGAACGGGUGUCAGAGUAACUGUUGACAUCGUGACGGUAUUCAACCAGAAAGCCACGGCUAACUACGUGCCAGCAGCCGCGGUAAUACGUAGGUGGCAAGCGUUGUCCGGAUUUAUUGGGCGUAAAGCGAGCGCAGGCGGUUUCUUAAGUCUGAUGUGAAAGCCUUCGGCUUAACCGAAGAAGUGCAUCGGAAACUGGGGAACUUGAGUGCAGAAGAGGACAGUGGAACUCCAUGUGUAGCGGUGGAAUGCGUAGAUAUAUGGAAGAACACCAGUGGCGAAGGCGGCUGUCUAGUCUGCAACUGACGCUGAGGCUCGAAAGCAUGGGUAGCGAACAGGAUUAGAUACCCUGGUAGUCCAUGCCGUAAACGAUGAGUGCUAGGUGUUGGAGGGUUUCCGCCCUUCAGUGCCGCAGCUAACGCAUUAAGCACUCCGCCUGGGGAGUACGACCGCAAGGUUGAAACUCAAAGGAAUUGACGGGGGCCCGCACAAGCGGUGGAGCAUGUGGUUUAAUUCGAAGCUACGCGAAGAACCUUACCAGGUCUUGACAUCUUCUGCCAAUCUUAGAGAUAAGACGUUCCCUUCGGGGACAGAAUGACAGGUGGUGCAUGGUUGUCGUCAGCUCGUGUCGUGAGAUGUUGGGUUAAGUCCCGCAACGAGCGCAACCCUUAUUAUCAGUUGCCAGCAUUCAGUUGGGCACUCUGGUGAAACUGCCGGUGACAAACCGG